This 497-nucleotide ribosomal RNA is filed under the name uncultured bacterium. RNAcentral's name for it is "partial 16S ribosomal RNA". It matches the Rfam family "Bacterial small subunit ribosomal RNA", at positions 28 to 507 of the family's 1533-position model. The record is from RNAcentral.
GAUGAACGCUGGCGGCGUGCCUAAUACAUGCAAGUCGAGCGAACAGACCAGGAGCUCUUGCUUUCGACGUCAGCGGCGGACGGGCGAGUAACACGUAGGUAACCAACCUAUCAGACUGGGAUAAAUACGGGAAACCGGAUCUAAUUCCGGACAAAAUUUCGCACCUCAUGGUUUGAUAGUGCAAGAAGGCUUUUCUUCCACUUAUAGAUGGACCUGCGCCGUAUUAGCUAUUUGGUAAGGUAACGGCUUACCAAGGCAACGCUACGUAGCCGACCUGAGAGGGUGAUCAGCCACACUGGAACUGAGACGCGGUCCAGACUCCUACGGGAGGCAGCAGUAGGGAAUCUUACGCAAUGGGAGGAGGCCUGGCGGAACAACGCCGCGUGGGUGAUAAAAGUCUUCGGAUCUGAAAACUCUGUUAUUAGGGAGGAACAAUCGUGUAAGUAACUGUGCACGUAUUGACGGUACCUAAUCAAAAAGCCACGGCUAACUACGUG